Homo sapiens (human) is the source of this 687-nucleotide long non-coding RNA. Ensembl annotates it as long intergenic non-protein coding RNA 411. Lineage: Eukaryota; Metazoa; Chordata; Mammalia; Primates; Hominidae. The record is from Ensembl.
AAGUGUUGGGGUGCCUUAAUGCUUGAUGUUAGACCAUCUACUCUUCUCACUUAAUAACCUUUCUCUGAGGCAUCUCAAUCAGAGCUGUGGCCUCAACUGCUUAACAGAGGCAUGUGAAAAGUGCUGCAGGAGUGUUCAGCCGAGUGCGUGACUAUGUCAUGUGAAAAGUAGCUUGAUUUGGGGUCACUGCUAUUCAGUGGAAAAUUUAACCUUGGGAUGGAUAAUGCAGCCCAAAUUUGAACUCUGAAAGACUAUUCACUGGAUUGGAAGACCAAUAGAUACCAAUAAAUUAAAAGUAAUUGCUGUUUAUCCUUCAUCAAAAUUACCAUUAUUCUACAAGGUGGCCCUCCAGAGUUAGUGAACUGUGACCUCCACAUGGGAUUUGGACAUGCGUGCCCUACAUCUGGAAUGCAGAAACACUCUUCACAGAACUCUGAUAGCCCAGGAAUAUUUAUGUAAAUCUCUGUCCUGAUAAAAGCAGCUUUGAGAUCAGCAUGGAGGAAGAAGGAAUAGGAAGAAGCUGCUCUGAACUCCCUCCAGAAACACCUACAUUUACAUCCAAGGCACCAGCUGUUGAGUUUCCCUGACUUGAGAAAUGGCAUCGCUCUUGGCCAACAUCUCCCAAGGAGACUAAAUAGAAUAUUAAUGUAUUAGUAGAAUAUUAAUAUUAAUAUAUUAGUAGAAUAU